RNAcentral lists this ribosomal RNA (506 nucleotides) under uncultured Eubacteriales bacterium. RNAcentral's name for it is "uncultured Clostridiales bacterium partial 16S ribosomal RNA". The record is from RNAcentral. Lineage: Bacteria; Bacillati; Bacillota; Clostridia; Eubacteriales.
CACGUAGUUAGCCGGGGCUUCUUACUCAGGUACCGUCUGCUGACCGUAAGGUCAGUGUUUCUUCCCUGCUGAUAGAGCUUUACGUAACGAAUUACUUCUUCACUCACGCGGCGUCGCUGCAUCAGGGUUUCCCCCAUUGUGCAAUAUUCCCCACUGCUGCCUCCCGUAGGAGUCUGGGCCGUGUCUCAGUCCCAAUGUGGCCGUCCGCCCUCUCAGGCCGGCUACUGAUCGUCGCCUUGGUGGGCCGUUACCCCGCCAACAAGCUAAUCAGACGCGGGUCCAUCUUACACCACCGGAGUUUUUCACACCGCUUCAUGCGAAGCUGUGCGCUUAUGCGGUUUUAGCACCUAUUUCUAAGUGUUAUCCCCCUGUGUAAGGCAGGUUACCCACGCGUUACUCACCCGUCCGCCACUAACCCAUAUAUCACUAGGUUUCAAUAUGGGUCCGUUCGACUUGCAUGUGUUAAGCACGCCGCCAGCGUUCAUCCUGAGCCAGGAUCAAACUCU